This is a long non-coding RNA of Stomoxys calcitrans (stable fly), 613 nucleotides long. RefSeq lists it as uncharacterized. The transcript is spliced from 2 exons. The record is from RefSeq and is a predicted model, not a curated record. Lineage: Eukaryota; Metazoa; Arthropoda; Insecta; Diptera; Muscidae.
GAGUAGAAUAAUCGAAAGAGUUUUAAUUCAAUAUUGACAACACGCGGCACAAUAUCCUGUGUUGUAGUCUAACUUUAAUCAAAGUUUUGUGUUAUUCUAUCACCCCAAAUAUGUUCUUCGUAAUUAAUUUUCCAAAAUUAUUUUCUUCAUCUGCAGAACAAUAUGAGGGAGAAUUCUAAUCCUACAAACUUCAACUGGUGGUGCUGGCAAAGUUGGCUGCUAAUAAAUGUCAAUACAAUUACCAGCUCCAUAGCCAAUGAAAACUAUAAGACAUUCUUUGUGAGUGUGGCAAGAGGAGAUCCAUCAUCCAUGGUUGUUAUGACCGUCUACUUUACCCCUUCUUCAUCAUAGCCAUCCUCAAAAGGCAACUCACCCUGUCUUUGUUAGUUUUUUUGUAUAUCGGAGCCAAAGAACUUCUGUUCAUGAGUUGGAGAGAGAGAGACAGAGAGCGAGAGUUUCGUAAAAUACAGGCUGCAAACAAGAGGAUUUGAAGAAAAAUCUAAAUAAAUUGUGCAUGGGGGUUAUACAACGAUGAAGAAGACAAUGGGCCCACACAAUUUUAUAAAUUUUCUCGGAAUUUGAUUGGAGAAUAAAAACAAAACAUUUAAGCACA